GCCUGGGUGGCUCAGUCGGUUGAGCGUCCGACUUCAGCUCAGGUCAUGAUCUCGCAGUUUGUGGGUUCGAGCCCCGCGUCGGGCU
This 85-nucleotide transfer RNA is filed under the name Felis catus (domestic cat). It matches the Rfam family "tRNA". Rfam says of the family: Transfer RNA (tRNA) molecules are approximately 80 nucleotides in length. Their secondary structure includes four short double-helical elements and three loops (D, anti-codon, and T loops). Further hydrogen bonds mediate the characteristic L-shaped molecular structure. tRNAs have two regions of fundamental functional importance: the anti-codon, which is responsible for specific mRNA codon recognition, and the 3' end, to which the tRNAs corresponding amino acid is attached (by aminoacyl-tRNA synthetases). tRNAs cope with the degeneracy of the genetic code in two manners: having more than one tRNA (with a specific anti-codon) for a particular amino acid; and 'wobble' base-pairing, i.e. permitting non-standard base-pairing at the 3rd anti-codon position. Lineage: Eukaryota; Metazoa; Chordata; Mammalia; Carnivora; Felidae. The record is from Rfam by way of RNAcentral.